This 206-nucleotide long non-coding RNA is filed under the name Mytilus galloprovincialis (Mediterranean mussel). The record is from RNAcentral. Lineage: Eukaryota; Metazoa; Mollusca; Bivalvia; Mytilida; Mytilidae.
CUGUUAAAUAUAUUAGUCUGGAGCAACAAACAAACCAACAGAAAAUCUUAAUUUUGCAUAAUAGAGCACGUGAAAUAAAUGAAGAAUGUAAGUAUUGGACACCUAUGCUCCCGCUUGUAAGUAAGUAAAAGACAAAUUCUGCAAUUUUUCAAUAAACAAAGGGACAUGCUUAAAGAACUGCGGCAGUGAUGCCAUAUCAGUAUUUG